UACGGGGGGGGCAAGCGUUGUUCGGAAUUACUGGGCGUAAAGGGCCAGUAGGCGGCCAACUAAGUCGGAUGUGAAAUCCCCAGGCUCAACUUGGGAACUGCAUCCGAUACUGGAUGGCUUGAAUUCGGGAGAGGGAUGCAGAAUUCCAGGUGUAGCGGUGAAAUGCGUAGAUAUCAGGAAGAACACCCGUGGCUAAGGCGGCUCUCUAGUACGGUACUGACGCUGAGACGCGAAAGCGUGGGGAGCGAACAGG
This 253-nucleotide ribosomal RNA is filed under the name uncultured bacterium. Its description in RNAcentral is "partial 16S ribosomal RNA". It matches the Rfam family "Bacterial small subunit ribosomal RNA", at positions 524 to 776 of the family's 1533-position model. The record is from RNAcentral.